AGAACCUUUUCUUCUCUCUUUUUCCUCUUCCGAAUUUUUUCUUACCCAAGUUAUAUUAAAGAUCAUGAGAAGAACAUCGUUUAUGUUUGUUCUGAAGAACGGAAACCAUUAUAGUCACUUCUUCUUUGAUCGUUCUUAUUCAACUAUAUUUCGUUGAUGUUAGGGUUAUAACUAAUUGUUCUUGUGAGAAUUCUUUUUUUUUUUAGUUUCUGCAAUUUCAGAAGGAGCUAUUAGAAGACCGAUUGAUCAUCAAUAAUGGUUCACAAGGAUUCUAAGUAUGUCUUCGUUGAGAGGAGGAACUGGAGUUGGAAAACAGAUGUAUGUCUUCAUUGUGUGCAUGAAGUGUCUCACUUAAUAAUUACUGGACGAUUUUUGUUUUUAUGAUCUUAUGUAUGUUGGUACAUUUCUUGUCGGUAUGGAUGCAGUUCAUUUGGUUAUAAAGUCAGAGAUAAAGUUAAUCGAAAUGAUUGUCUUUCUCACUGAAUUAGAGUUGUCCUUCAAGGUGAUGGACCUCUCUAUGGAUAUGCGGUGGACUUGUUUGCUCAAAGUUUUCUUGUUGCUGUUAGCGAUGGAUGGUAUCGAUGAAUGUACACUAGAUUAUUUGUCCAUGGAUUUGUGGUGAUGUUCUCAAGCAUUGGGAACUUGUUAAUAGUUGUUUGUUGUUCUUUAAGUGUUGGCUCAGUUCAUCAUCUGGUAGGAUCUCGUUUUGCUGGUUCACAAAACAUAGUUCAGGCCUUAUUUUCUUUUUCUUUUGUGAUUCCGAAUCUAAGUGUAAAUAGAGUUCAGUUAUGAAUUGUGUAACAAAUACAAUGGGUUUUAUUCAACCAUUUGAAUUUAUAAAUCCAAGUUUUA
This is a long non-coding RNA of Papaver somniferum (opium poppy), 852 nucleotides long. RefSeq lists it as uncharacterized. The transcript has 6 exons. Lineage: Eukaryota; Viridiplantae; Streptophyta; Magnoliopsida; Ranunculales; Papaveraceae. The record is from RefSeq and is a predicted model, not a curated record.